UUAUCCCUUCGGGGUGAACUUGUCGCUGUCGAGUGGCGGGCGGGUGAGUAAUGCGUAGGAAUUUGCCUCAAAGUGGGGGAUAGCCCGGAGAAAUCCGGAUUAAUACCGCAUGUGCUCUACGGAGGAAAGCGGGCCUCUACUUGUAAGCUCGCGCUUUGAGAUAAGCCUACGUCGGAUUAGCUUGUUGGUAGGGUAACGGCCUACCAAGGCGACGAUCCGUAGCUGGUUUGAGAGGAUGAUCAGCCACACCGGAACUGAGACACGGUCCGGACUCCUACGGGAGGCAGCAGUGGGGAAUAUUGGACAAUGGGCGAAAGCCUGAUCCAGCAAUGCCGCGUGUGUGAAGAAGGCCUGCGGGUUGUAAAGCACUUUUAUCAGGAAAGAAAACCACAGGGAUAAUACCCCUGUGUCUUGACGGUACUUGAUGAAUAAGCACCGGCUAACUCCGUGCCAGCAGCCGCGGUAAUACGGAGGGUGCAAGCGUUAAUCGGAAUUACUGGGCGUAAAGCGAGUG
This 514-nucleotide ribosomal RNA is filed under the name uncultured bacterium. RNAcentral describes it as "bacterial SSU rRNA". It matches the Rfam family "Bacterial small subunit ribosomal RNA", at positions 72 to 571 of the family's 1533-position model. The record is from RNAcentral.